This 450-nucleotide ribosomal RNA is filed under the name Fusobacterium sp. oral taxon 203. RNAcentral's name for it is "bacterial SSU rRNA". It matches the Rfam family "Bacterial small subunit ribosomal RNA", at positions 28 to 490 of the family's 1533-position model. Lineage: Bacteria; Fusobacteriati; Fusobacteriota; Fusobacteriia; Fusobacteriales; Fusobacteriaceae. The record is from RNAcentral.
GAUGAACGCUGACAGAAUGCUUAACACAUGCAAGUCAACUUGAAUUUGGGUCUUUUGACUUAGAUUUGGGUGGCGGACGGGUGAGUAACGCGUAAAGAACUUGCCUCACAGUUAGGGACAACAUUUGGAAACGAAUGCUAAUACCUGAUAUUAUGAAUAUAUGGCAUCACAUAAUUACGAAAGCUAUAAGCGCUGUGAGAGAGCUUUGCGUCCCAUUAGCUAGUUGGAGAGGUAACGGCUCACCAAGGCGAUGAUGGGUAGCCGGCCUGAGAGGGUGAACGGCCACAAGGGGACUGAGACACGGCCCUUACUCCUACGGGAGGCAGCAGUGGGGAAUAUUGGACAAUGGACUAAGAGUCUGAUCCAGCAAUUCUGUGUGCACGAUGACGUUUUUCGGAAUGUAAAGUGCUUUCAGUUGGGAAGAAAAAAAUGACGGUCCAACAGAAGAAG